ACAUUUUUUUUUAUUUACGUAUUUCUGCCAAUGAUUAAUUUAAAUGGCUGCAGUAUUUUGACUGUACAAAGGUAGCAUAAUAAUUAGUCUCUUAAUUGGGGACUGGUAUGAAGGAAAAUAUGAAAGAUUUAUUUUAUUUAAUUUAUUAUUAUAAUUUAAUUUUUAAGUUAAAAAGCUUAAAUAUUUUAUAGGGACGAUAAGACCCUAUAGAACUUUAUAAUUUAAAUUACAAAUUUUAGUUAAUUUAUUAUUUUAAAUUAUUUAAUUGGGGUGAUUAAUAAAUUUGUUUUACUUUAUUUAAUUUUUUCAUUAAUUUAUGAUUAAAUGUUCCAUAGUUUAUGAUUUUAAGUUUAAGUUACCUUAGGGAUAACAGCGUAAUUUUAAUGGGGAGUUCUUAUCUAUAUUAAAGUUUGCGACCUCGAUGUUGAAUUAAGAUAAGAUUAGGGGGUAGGUUCUUUAAAUUCUAAGUCUGUUCGACUUUUAAAUUCUUACAUGAUCUG
This 500-nucleotide ribosomal RNA is filed under the name Pediopsoides kurentsovi. Its description in RNAcentral is "partial large subunit ribosomal RNA". The stretch from base 366 to 500 matches the Rfam family "Archaeal large subunit ribosomal RNA", at positions 2542 to 2676 of the family's 2987-position model. The record is from RNAcentral. Lineage: Eukaryota; Metazoa; Arthropoda; Insecta; Hemiptera; Cicadellidae.